Eptesicus fuscus (big brown bat) is the source of this 548-nucleotide long non-coding RNA. RefSeq lists it as uncharacterized. NCBI's taxonomy places the organism in Eukaryota, Metazoa, Chordata, Mammalia, Chiroptera, Vespertilionidae. The transcript has 5 exons. The record is from RefSeq and is a predicted model, not a curated record.
CUAGACUUGAGAGUAAGGUUUCAUAUCUAAGAAAUCAUUGCCUUUCCUGAUUGGCCUGCCUGAUGGAUUUUGGACUUACCUAGCCAGCCUCCACAAGCCAGCUCCCUGAUACAAGCAUUGAAAACAAUAAGUAUACAGAGAGGACAGAAGCAGAAUCUCUGGGAGCAUCACUGUGGAUGCUGCAAACUGUUGAAGAUGGCGCUUCAGAAGGGCUGCAGUACUGGACCCAUAAUAUCUGGAGAAUAAAGAGCUACCUCAUGAAUUAGCUGAAUUUGGCAACAUUUGAAGGAGUGAAGGAAUUUUAUUUGUGGAUGGAUGGAGCUAGAAUGGUGGAGCUAGAAGCUUCAAAUUUUAUAGAAAUUGCCACAGCCACCCCAACCUUCAGCAACCACCAGCAGCCCAUCAACAUUGAGGCAAGAUCUUCCACCAGCAAAAAGAUGGCGACUCGCUGAAAGCGCCAAUGAUAGUUAGCACUUUUUAGCAAUAAAGUAUUUUUAAAGUAUGUACACUUUUUAGAUAUAAUGCUAUUGCACACUUAAUAGACUGCA